GGAUGAAUGGGCGCAAGCCUGAUCCAGCAAUGCCGCGUGCAGGAAGAAGGCCUUCGGGUUGUAAACUGCUUUUGUACGGAACGAAAAAGCGAGCUUUAAUACAGUUUGCUCAUGACGGUACCGUAAGAAUAAGCACCGGCUAACUACGUGCCAGCAGCCGCGGUAAUACGUAGGGUGCGAGCGUUAAUCGGAAUUACUGGGCGUAAAGCGUGCGCAGGCGGUUGUGUAAGACAGUUGUGAAAUCCCUGGG
This 250-nucleotide ribosomal RNA is filed under the name uncultured bacterium. Its description in RNAcentral is "partial 16S ribosomal RNA". It matches the Rfam family "Bacterial small subunit ribosomal RNA", at positions 366 to 607 of the family's 1533-position model. The record is from RNAcentral.